This 1216-nucleotide ribosomal RNA is filed under the name metagenome. RNAcentral's name for it is "bacterial SSU rRNA". It matches the Rfam family "Bacterial small subunit ribosomal RNA", at positions 272 to 1498 of the family's 1533-position model. The record is from RNAcentral.
GGCAACGAUCAGUAGGGGUUCUGAGAGGAAGGUCCCCCACAUUGGAACUGAGACACGGUCCAAACUCCUACGGGAGGCAGCAGUGAGGAAUAUUGGUCAAUGGACGAGAGUCUGAACCAGCCAAGUAGCGUGCAGGAAGACGGCCCUAUGGGUUGUAAACUGCUUUUAUAAGGGAAUAAAGUGAGAGUCGUGACUCUUUUUGCAUGUACCUUAUGAAUAAGGACCGGCUAAUUCCGUGCCAGCAGCCGCGGUAAUACGGAAGGUCCGGGCGUUAUCCGGAUUUAUUGGGUUUAAAGGGAGCGUAGGCCGGAGAUUAAGCGUGUUGUGAAAUGUAGACGCUCAACGUCUGCACUGCAGCGCGAACUGGUUUCCUUGAGUACGCACAAAGUGGGCGGAAUUCGUGGUGUAGCGGUGAAAUGCUUAGAUAUCACAAAGAACUCCGAUUGCGAAGGCAGCUCACUGGAGCGCAACUGACGCUGAAGCUCGAAAGUGCGGGUAUCGAACAGGAUUAGAUACCCUGGUAGUCCGCACGGUAAACGAUGGAUGCCCGCUGUUGGUCUGAAUAGGUCAGCGGCCAAGCGAAAGCAUUAAGCAUCCCACCUGGGGAGUACGCCGGCAACGGUGAAACUCAAAGGAAUUGACGGGGGCCCGCACAAGCGGAGGAACAUGUGGUUUAAUUCGAUGAUACGCGAGGAACCUUACCCGGGCUUGAAUUGCAGAGGAAGGAUUUGGAGACAAUGACGCCCUUCGGGGCCUCUGUGAAGGUGCUGCAUGGUUGUCGUCAGCUCGUGCCGUGAGGUGUCGGCUUAAGUGCCAUAACGAGCGCAACCCCUCUCCUUAGUUGCCAUCAGGUUAAGCUGGGCACUCUGGGGACACUGCCACCGUAAGGUGUGAGGAAGGUGGGGAUGACGUCAAAUCAGCACGGCCCUUACGUCCGGGGCUACACACGUGUUACAAUGGCAGGUACAGAGAGACGGUCCCUUGCAAAACGGAUCAAAUCCUUAAAGCCUGUCUCAGUUCGGACUGGGGUCUGCAACCCGACCCCACGAAGCUGGAUUCGCUAGUAAUCGCGCAUCAGCCAUGGCGCGGUGAAUACGUUCCCGGGCCUUGUACACACCGCCCGUCAAGCCAUGAAAGCCGGGGGCGCCUAAAGUCCGUGACCGUAAGGAGCGGCCUAGGGCGAAACUGGUAAUUGGGGCUAAGUCGUAACAAGGUA